UAGCUUCAGGCUUCCUACUGCCUUCUCGUGCAUAUGGCCCUCCUUUGUUUUCUGUUAGAGAGAAAAUGUCAGAAUUUUAGAUGGUGGUUUUUGCGAUCAUGGCAAGAGUUAAGGAAAUUUUGGUGGAUCCAGUGAUGACUGAUUGAAGCUUCUUCAGCCUGAGUUUCCACUUUUUAUCUUUGGUUGCCUUUUGUUUCGUGAGACCACACCAUAAACUCAUACCAGGAACGAGGAAACACGUCUCUGAGAGCCACUGAAUUAUCACACAUAUAAAGGAUCUGGAACUCUGUUAACCAGCCCACCUUUGGCUUUCCAUGAGACCUAGACUUCUGACGGCCCACAUCUCUCUGAAAUGCAGCCAUGUAGCGUGCUGUUAGCAUGCACAUCAGCUCAAUGGGAAAAGCACAGACCUGCUCCUCCUCAGAACAUCCUUUCCAUCCAUGCUGCGUUGGUGCUUGAUAAAAAGGUGCCCAGAAAGAGAGUGAUAUGGACAUUAAUGACUUCACUUUGGCAUUUCAUGGCAAGGAGUUUUGACAACAAGUGCACACCUAUACUGGAUUGAAAGUCCAAUUGUACCCAGCAAAAAAAGAGUGGUGCAUGUGAGAGAGAAAAAACAAAAGCCUGAAGUCUUUACUUACUGGCAUAACUCAGAAGUAAUUCUUUUGAUGGCACAGUGGUGUCAACCUGAUAGUGGAAGAUGUCUAAAGAUGGCAAAGACAGAUGAGCAGGAGGUUGGCAACAGGAUGCAGAAUAAAGUGAGAACAGAUGCAUAUAGGAUGAGCAUAAAAAUAGA
Molecule: long non-coding RNA, 793 nt
Organism: Lagopus leucura (white-tailed ptarmigan)
Lineage: Eukaryota; Metazoa; Chordata; Aves; Galliformes; Phasianidae
Exons: 3
Source: RefSeq, a predicted model, not a curated record